UACAGAGGCCUCAAGCGUUGUUCGGAUUCAUUGGGCGUAAAGGGUGCGUAGGUGGCGCUGUAAGUCAGGUGUGAAAUUUCGGAGCUCAACUCCGAAACUGCAUUUGAUACUGCGGUGCUUGAGGACUGGAGAGGAGAUUGGAAUUCACGGUGUAGCAGUGAAAUGCGUAGAUAUCGUGAGGAAGACCAGUGGCGAAGGCGGAUCUCUGGACAGUUCCUGACACUGAGGCACGAAGGCCAGGGGAGCAAACGGG
This 253-nucleotide ribosomal RNA is filed under the name uncultured bacterium. RNAcentral describes it as "partial 16S ribosomal RNA". It matches the Rfam family "Bacterial small subunit ribosomal RNA", at positions 524 to 776 of the family's 1533-position model. The record is from RNAcentral.